RNAcentral lists this non-coding RNA (93 nucleotides) under Robinsoniella sp. RHS. RNAcentral describes it as "THF (Tetrahydrofolate) riboswitch aptamer". It matches the Rfam family "THF (Tetrahydrofolate) riboswitch aptamer". Rfam says of the family: THF riboswitch presents a pseudoknot that joins P1-P2 and the loop of P3 and two THF binding. The record is from Rfam by way of RNAcentral. RNAcentral also lists the same sequence under 1 other name. Lineage: Bacteria; Bacillati; Bacillota; Clostridia; Lachnospirales; Lachnospiraceae.
AGUAGAGUAGAUGUUAUACGUAAAGUGUCACCAAAGGGGGAGGCUUUUGGUGAACGAAGGAGACUUCCGCGUUAUAAGAUCGCUCCCGCUACU